RNAcentral lists this ribosomal RNA (253 nucleotides) under uncultured bacterium. RNAcentral describes it as "partial 16S ribosomal RNA". It matches the Rfam family "Bacterial small subunit ribosomal RNA", at positions 524 to 776 of the family's 1533-position model. The record is from RNAcentral.
UACGAAGGGGGCUAGCGUUGUUCGGAUUUACUGGGCGUAAAGCGCGUGUAGGCGGGCCGUUAAGUCGGGGGUGAAAUCCCAGAGCUCAACUCUGGAACUGCCUCCGAGACUGGCGGCCUGGACCCAAGGAGAGGCGAGUGGAAUUCCGAGUGUAGAGGUGAAAUUCGUAGAUAUUCGGAGGAACACCAGUGGCGAAGGCGACUCGCUGGACUUGUGGUGACGCUGAGACGCGAAAGCGUGGGGAGCAAACAGG